RNAcentral lists this ribosomal RNA (253 nucleotides) under uncultured bacterium. RNAcentral's name for it is "partial 16S ribosomal RNA". It matches the Rfam family "Bacterial small subunit ribosomal RNA", at positions 524 to 776 of the family's 1533-position model. The record is from RNAcentral.
UACGAAGGGGGCUAGCGUUGCUCGGAAUCACUGGGCGUAAAGGGUGCGUAGGCGGGUUUUUAAGUCAGGGGUGAAAUUCUGGAGCUCAACUCCAGAACUGCCUUUGAUACUGAAGAUCUUGAGUUCGGGAGAGGUGAGUGGAACUGCGAGUGUAGAGGUGAAAUUCGUAGAUAUUCGCAAGAACACCAGUGGCGAAGGCGGCUCACUGGCCCGAUACUGACGCUGAGGCACGAAAGCGUGGGGAGCAAACAGG